GAAUUCAACGUAUAAACGAGACACAUGCAUAUAUUUUGUUAUGUGUAGACAGAUGGUUACCACCAACGAUCCAGUGUAACUAGUGCACGUGAUGAGUACAAUGGAACAGAACCCGGCUUA
Molecule: unclassified non-coding RNA, 120 nt
Filed under: Heliobacterium chlorum
Lineage: Bacteria; Bacillati; Bacillota; Clostridia; Eubacteriales; Heliobacteriaceae
Description: partial ribonuclease P RNA
Source: RNAcentral